GGAUUAGAUACCCUGGUAGUCCAUGCCCUAAACGAUGUGUACUAGGUCGAGGAGGUUUUGACGCCAUCUCGGCCGCAGCGAAAGCAUUAAGUACACCGCCUGGGGAGUACGGUCGCAAGGCUAAAACUCAAAGGAAUUGACGGGGGCUCACACAAGCGGUGGAGCAUGUGGCUUAAUUCGAGGCAACGCGAAGAACCUUAUCCUGGGUUUGACAUGGACGGAUUAGGCUCCCGAAAGGGAGUUCGACGCUCUCACGAGUGGAACGUUCACAGGUGCUGCAUGGCUGUCGUCAGCUCGUGCCG
RNAcentral lists this ribosomal RNA (302 nucleotides) under uncultured bacterium. Its description in RNAcentral is "bacterial SSU rRNA". It matches the Rfam family "Bacterial small subunit ribosomal RNA", at positions 775 to 1067 of the family's 1533-position model. The record is from RNAcentral.